Molecule: transfer RNA, 82 nt
Filed under: Pseudomonadota bacterium
Lineage: Bacteria; Pseudomonadati; Pseudomonadota
Also listed under: 1 other name
Description: tRNA-Leu
Rfam family: tRNA
About the family: Transfer RNA (tRNA) molecules are approximately 80 nucleotides in length. Their secondary structure includes four short double-helical elements and three loops (D, anti-codon, and T loops). Further hydrogen bonds mediate the characteristic L-shaped molecular structure. tRNAs have two regions of fundamental functional importance: the anti-codon, which is responsible for specific mRNA codon recognition, and the 3' end, to which the tRNAs corresponding amino acid is attached (by aminoacyl-tRNA synthetases). tRNAs cope with the degeneracy of the genetic code in two manners: having more than one tRNA (with a specific anti-codon) for a particular amino acid; and 'wobble' base-pairing, i.e. permitting non-standard base-pairing at the 3rd anti-codon position.
Source: RNAcentral
GGGCGGGUGGCGAAAUGGCAGACGCGCUAGACUUAGGAUCUAGUACCCAAAAGGUGUGAGAGUUCAAGUCUCUCCCCGCCCA